RNAcentral lists this ribosomal RNA (497 nucleotides) under uncultured bacterium. Its description in RNAcentral is "partial 16S ribosomal RNA". It matches the Rfam family "Bacterial small subunit ribosomal RNA", at positions 28 to 507 of the family's 1533-position model. The record is from RNAcentral.
GAUGAACGCUGGCGGCGUGCCUAAUACAUGCAAGUCGAGCGAACGGACGAGAAGCUUGCUUCUCUGAUGUUAGCGGCGGACGGGUGAGUAACACGUGGAUAACCUACCUAUAAGACUGGGAUAACUUCGGGAAACCGGAGCUAAUACCGGAUAAUAUUUUGAACCGCAUGGUUCAAAAGUGAAAGACGGUCUUGCUGUCACUUAUAGAUGGAUCCGCGCUGCAUUAGCUAGUUGGUAAGGUAACGGCUUACCAAGGCAACGAUGCAUAGCCGACCUGAGAGGGUUAUCGGCCACACUGGAACUGAGACACGGUCCAGACUCCUACGGGAGGCAGCAGUAGGGAAUCUUCCGCAAUGGGCGAAAGCCUGACGGAGCAACGCCGCGUGAGUGAUGAAGGUCUUCGGAUCGUAAAACUCUGUUAUUAGGGAAGAACAUAUGUGUAAGUAACUGUGCACAUCUUGACGGUACCUAAUCAGAAAGCCACGGCUAACUACGUG